UACAGAGGGUGCAAGCGUUAAUCGGAAUUACUGGGCGUAAAGCGUACGCAGGCGGCUUUGCAAGACAGGUGUGAAAUCCCCGGGCCUAACCUGGGAACUGCAUUUGUGACUGCAUAGCUAGAGUUUGUCAGAGGGGGGUGGAAUUCCACGUGUAGCAGUGAAAUGCGUAGAUAUGUGGAGGAACACCGAUGGCGAAGGCAGCCCCCUGGGAUGUGACUGACGCUCAUGUACGAAAGCGUGGGGAGCAAACAGG
RNAcentral lists this ribosomal RNA (253 nucleotides) under uncultured bacterium. Its description in RNAcentral is "partial 16S ribosomal RNA". It matches the Rfam family "Bacterial small subunit ribosomal RNA", at positions 524 to 776 of the family's 1533-position model. The record is from RNAcentral.